RNAcentral lists this long non-coding RNA (720 nucleotides) under Homo sapiens (human). RNAcentral's name for it is "non-protein coding LINC00917:3". Lineage: Eukaryota; Metazoa; Chordata; Mammalia; Primates; Hominidae. The record is from RNAcentral.
AGAGUCAUUGUGGGGGAGGGGUUGGGCCAGCCAGGGCAGGCAGGGACAGCCCCUCUGAUGAGGAGGCCACUGGGCUGAGACCAAUGAAUGAGAUGGAGCCAGCCACGUGGGCUUGAGUCUGGGGGAGCCUGGCUGCCCAGAGGUGGCAGAUGACAUGAAGAAAUAACCAUGUAAGGGCUGGCUGUGUAUGAGAGCAAGCAUUGGGAAGGAUGAAUGCCAACUAUGUUCCAGGAACUUCCACUGUUCUCACACACCCAGGUGAGUGGUGUUCAGGUGGGUGGCACCCAGGUGAGUGACAUCCCAGUUGAGUGGCACCCAGGUGAGUAGCAUCCAGGUGAGUGACACCUAGGUGAGUGACAUUCAGGUUAGUGGCGUCUGUGUGAGUGGCAUCAUCCAGGUGAGUAGCUUCCAGGUGAGUGGCACCCAGGUGAGUGGCAUUCGGGUGAGUGGCAUUAUCCAGGUGACACCUGGGUGAGUGGCAUCCAGGUGAGUGAUAUCAUCCAGGUAAGUGGCACCUAGGUGACAUCCAGGUGAGUGACGACAUCCAGGUGAGUGACAUCAUCCAGGUAAAUGGCACCCAGGUGAGUAGCAUUCAGGUGAGUGACACCCAGGCGAGUGGCAUCCACGUGACUAGCAUUGUCCAGGUGCAUAACACCCAGGUGAGUGGCACCCAGUUGAGUGGUGCCCAAGUGAGUCACAUCCAGGUAAGUGGGGUCCAGG